This 70-nucleotide transfer RNA is filed under the name Loxodonta africana (African savanna elephant). It matches the Rfam family "tRNA". Rfam says of the family: Transfer RNA (tRNA) molecules are approximately 80 nucleotides in length. Their secondary structure includes four short double-helical elements and three loops (D, anti-codon, and T loops). Further hydrogen bonds mediate the characteristic L-shaped molecular structure. tRNAs have two regions of fundamental functional importance: the anti-codon, which is responsible for specific mRNA codon recognition, and the 3' end, to which the tRNAs corresponding amino acid is attached (by aminoacyl-tRNA synthetases). tRNAs cope with the degeneracy of the genetic code in two manners: having more than one tRNA (with a specific anti-codon) for a particular amino acid; and 'wobble' base-pairing, i.e. permitting non-standard base-pairing at the 3rd anti-codon position. The record is from Rfam by way of RNAcentral. Lineage: Eukaryota; Metazoa; Chordata; Mammalia; Proboscidea; Elephantidae.
GCAUUGGUGGUUCAGUGGUAGAAUUCUCGCCUUCCAUACGGGAGACCUGGGUUCGAUACCAGGCAAUGCA